This 271-nucleotide ribosomal RNA is filed under the name uncultured bacterium. RNAcentral describes it as "partial 16S ribosomal RNA". It matches the Rfam family "Bacterial small subunit ribosomal RNA", at positions 524 to 794 of the family's 1533-position model. The record is from RNAcentral.
UACAGAGGGGGCAAGCGUUAUUCGGAAUUACUGGGCGUAAAGGGCGCGUAGGCGGUUCUUUAAGUCGGAUGUGCAAUCCCCGAGCUCAACUUGGGAACUGCAUCCGAAACUGGGGAGCUAGAGUACUGGAGAGGGUGGUAGAAUUCCACGUGUAGCGGUGAAAUGCGUAGAUAUCAGGAGGAACACCUGAGGUGUAGACGGCUAUCUGGACCGUAACUGACGCUGAGGCACGAAAGCGUGGGGAGCAAACAGGAUUAGAAACCCGGGUAGU